AGCAUUAAAUUCAGGAAGUAUUUAUUAAGUUUCGUUUUCUAAGAAUUGGGCCUUCCUGUCUUCCUGGAGUUUGUGAAGCCUGUCAUGGAGGUACAAUUAAUCCCCCCCUUCUUUUCUUACGCGGGACAUCUCGCAUUAAGUCAUUGAGCACGCAGUACAGAAGCAAUUGGUAUUCAGCAUCCGCUAGUUACAUAUAUAUGUGUGUGUGUGUGUGUGUGUGUGUGUGUGUGUGUAUUCAUUUCAACAAAUCAGGCUCCUCUGAAUCUCUUUUUUGGGGUGGGGAGUUUGAAGGGAGCCGGGUUAGGCCUCCUCCUUGGCCCCAGAACCCUACUUCAGCAAGAAUCCUGUCAAGCUGGUUUAGCAACACCCUCCCACCCCCUUGAUGCUUAAAUUCCCCCUGGUAAUUUACUAUGCACUAUCUCCCUCACUCUGCCCAGUUAGCUAUGAAUAUCCAGCUACUACUGUAUUCGAAGCUGGCCUUUGCAAUGAUGUUUGACAACGUCUUUGUUGUCUUUCUUGCUUGGUCCUGUGGUUUUCUGACACAACCCAGCCUCAGAGUGCGGCUCGCAGACUUCCACCACUUACCCUGCGGCUUGCUGGGCUGCAUGGCCUUCUGGGAAAUGCAGUGCCUGACCUCGCCAUGCACUGGAUGGGCCUGGCUGGCCACAGGGACCGGACUGUGCCUAGAAGCCGCUUGGCAUUCCUUCUGCACUAGGACUUCGCGGGAGCUCUUGAGGCAGGCAUGGGCCAGGCGGCAGAGCCAAACCAAGAGUCGCUGAGCCCACUCUUGUACGUGAGAGUGGGCAAAGGGAGAGGCUUAUCUUCAGAUGAUGAGACCUGAUAUGCUACCUACUGUGCUAACAAGGCCCCUGAGACUCUCUCUAAUAUGACCAGAUCACCAGGCACAGACUCUGAUACUGUGUAUAGGCUGUAGAAUGUAAUAGAGGAGAGUAAUGAGAAUAAAAUAAAUACAUAUAAAUAAA
Oryctolagus cuniculus (rabbit) is the source of this 983-nucleotide non-coding RNA. The record is from RefSeq and is a predicted model, not a curated record. NCBI's taxonomy places the organism in Eukaryota, Metazoa, Chordata, Mammalia, Lagomorpha, Leporidae.